This 498-nucleotide ribosomal RNA is filed under the name uncultured bacterium. RNAcentral's name for it is "partial 16S ribosomal RNA". It matches the Rfam family "Bacterial small subunit ribosomal RNA", at positions 28 to 523 of the family's 1533-position model. The record is from RNAcentral.
GAUGAACGCUAGCGGCAGGCCUAAUACAUGCAAGUCGGACGGGAUUGAGAAGCUUGCUUUUCAUGAGAGUGGCGCACGGGUGCGUAACACGUAUGUAACCUACCUUAAACAGGGGGAUAGCCUCUCGAAAGAGAGAUUAACACCGCAUAAAAUCAAUUUAUGGCAUCAUAGAAUGAUCAAAUAUUUAUAGGAUUAAGAUGGGCAUGCGGAACAUUAGCUAGUUGGUAAGGUAACGGGUUACCAAGGCUACGAUGUUUAGGGGAUCUGAGAGGAUGACCCCCCACACUGGUACUGAGACACGGACCAGACUCCUACGGGAGGCAGCAGUAAGGAAUAUUGGUCAAUGGGCGCAAGCCUGAACCAGCCAUGCCGCGUGCAGGAAGACGGCCCUACGGGUUGUAAACUGCUUUUGUACCGGAAUAAACCUUUGUAUGUAUACGAAGCUGAAUGUACGGUAAGAAUAAGGAUCGGCUAACUCCGUGCCAGCAGCCGCCGUAA